UAGGGAAUCUUCGGCAAUGGGGGGAACCCUGACCGAGCAACGCCGCGUGAGUGAAGAAGGUUUUCGGAUCGUAAAGCUCUGUUGUUAAGGAAGAACGAGUGUGAGAAUGGAAAGUUCAUACUGUGACGGUACUUAACCAGAAAGGGACGGCUAACUACGUCCCAGCAGCCGCGGUAAUACGUAGGUCCCGAGCGUUGUCCGGAUUUAUUGGGCGUAAAGCGAGCGCAGGCGGUUAGAUAAGUCUGAAGUUAAAGGCAGUGGCUCAACCAUUGUAGGCUUUGGAAACUGUUUAACUUGAGGGCAGAAGGGGAGAGUGGAAUUCCAUGUGUAGCGGUGAAAUGCGUAGAUAUAUGGAGGAACACCGGUGGCGAAAGCGGCUCUCUGGUCUGUAACUGACGCGGAGGCUCGAAAGCGUGGGGAGCGAACAGG
This 429-nucleotide ribosomal RNA is filed under the name Bacteroidota bacterium. RNAcentral describes it as "Bacteroidetes bacterium partial 16S ribosomal RNA". It matches the Rfam family "Bacterial small subunit ribosomal RNA", at positions 355 to 776 of the family's 1533-position model. Lineage: Bacteria; Pseudomonadati; Bacteroidota. The record is from RNAcentral.